AUAAAAUAAAUCAAUUGGAAUAUAACUAUUGUACUUACAUCCAAUGUAUAGUCCAUAGAGCAGUAUAAACAAGUCACUGUCUGCAUGAAAUUGUAGUUUGUGCUGGUUUGGCUAAUGCUAGUAGCCUGUUGUAAAACUAGGCAAAUAACUAGAUGAGUUGAUGUACCCCCUGGAAGACCUCUGUGUACCCCCAGGGGUGUGCGUACCCCUGGUUGAUAACUACUGCCUUUGAGGAUCUGAGCCCAGAACUCUUGGGGCUGUAAUCUUCCGCUGCACAGAAUGAACAAGACAAUCAGGGCCUAUGGUUUGCACUUCUACUUUUUGAUGCAUGUUUAUGUCAUUUUAAUCUCAUUUCCCUUCCUCCCCAGGCCCCAUUCAGUUCAUUUGCCAUCAUGCGUGUCAGUCUUUCCUAUUCCAACUACUGGUACCUUGGAAGUUAAUUCAAGGGGCAGAUGAACAUCUCUUGAGAGAAAAAGAUUGUUUCUGUUUUACCUUGCCCCUUAGCCUUUGAUUGUGCCUGCCCUUCAUUAGCACAGAUCCAACAGGAAUGUGGAAGUUUUACCUGGCUCUGCAAAGAGAAACUCGUAUACUAAAAGUUUGGAAUCUGUUAAACGGUUCUGAGCUUGACGAAUUGUAGCAUUCAGAGCAUUUCUAUUUUAAAUUGAGUUUUUAACGUUACUUCCCAGGGACCGCUCCAAUGUCAUUUUCAUUUCUUUGGAAUCAGAAAAGAUUGGUUAUUUUUUGGAAUCGUCAUUAAAAUAAGAGAUGAUAUUGAUGAAAUACGGUGAUGCCACAGCCAGAUAAAGGCCUCCUGCUGCUAAAUGAUCUCCCAGGUGAAAAUGAGUCAUGUUAAAAAUGCAUGGCAAAGUAAACCCACAUUUUCUAAGCCAGAGGUGGUAAUUCUAUGAAAAUAUUCCUGAUCACCAUUUCUGUAAUGGUCUCUGUGUUCGUCAUUUCAUUUGCAUUCUGACUGGCUUAGAGAUCUUUAAUUCAGCCAAUGCCAUGUUCAUCAAAACAGUAUUACCAGCUGCCACGAUAUUUGCUGUUCUUGCUCAAAGCCUCAGCUCCUGGAGUCAUAGGAAUAUGGGAGAAUCUCAGCUUUCACUUUUGGUGGUUUUUUUAAAGUAUGUUCCUACCCCUCGUGGUUGUAUAAAUACGUUCUGGAGGUUCUCUAAAGGCUCACAAAAUAAGGCAAAUAAAAAAACCUGCAAAUGUAUUAUUUUUAAAAAAAUCUCAUGAUUUUUAGGUGCCUCACUCCAGAUUUUUUGAACACUUGGGAUUGACAGUGCUGGAAAAGUGAAAGAUUUGUCUGAAAACCAACUUGCUGUAGUUUUGAAGUGAAGCUGAUUCAGUACAGAGAACUCACACAAGGCUGUUCAAAUCACAUAAGCCCCAAACGCAGCAUUUAAAUGGGUUUCAGAUGAAGAGCUUUUAAACAAUGUUCCUAGAUUCUGUAGCCUGCACCACGGUCACUUUGAACAGAAAUUUCACUGAUCGUGCCUAAGUGUUCAAUAUUUCUAGUGACCUCAAGGCGUUCCUUGACUUCUGUUCUACAUUCCCAGCUGUGGAUAAGCUACAUGAAAUUGCAGCCAAAGUGUAUGAAAAACUUGACAUCCUGUUGAGUGGGAAAACGUACCAACCAGGUCUUCUCCCUCAACUCCUGCAGUCCGUUUUUCAGAAGCAGAUCCUGCUGCUGCAGCGAGCAAUCAUUGAAAGCAGACUGGAGUGUGAACGUCACUGUGGAAUCUUUAGAUAUGAUGCUGUCUCCUGCACGAAUUGUAACUUCUCCAGACCGGCUUGCUUUGGAUAUAACUGCGAGUCAUCAGAAGAAUGGGAAACAGCCUUAAAAGGCCUUUUUGAUUACAUAAACAAAAUAUACCGGCAAUCAGCAAGGUGGCUAGUUGCCUUGAGAAGGAUCCCAGGAUUCCACAAUUGCACAUCCACCAGCCCAGCAAUGCUAAACUUUAAAAGGAUAAAGGCCAGCAUGUCGGAGACUUGGCACAACACGCUUGUGAACAGGAAGACUACUGGAUGGCACAAACACAGAAUCCCGCCCCCUAGAGUGAUAGACUGCUGAGCUGUGAUUUUUUAAAUGAAUACUUAGAAUGUAUUAGGUGUAAGGGAAAUUAAACAGAAAUGAUCAGUG
Molecule: long non-coding RNA, 2146 nt
Organism: Trachemys scripta elegans
Lineage: Eukaryota; Metazoa; Chordata; Testudines; Emydidae
Exons: 10
Source: RefSeq, a predicted model, not a curated record